CAGCAGCCGCGGUAAAACAGAGGGUGCGAGCGUUAAUCGGAUUUACUGGGCGUAAAGCGUGCGUAGGCGGCUUCUUAAGUCGGAUGUGAAAUCCCUGAGCUUAACUUAGGAAUUGCAUUCGAUACUGGGAAGCUAGAGUAUGGGAGAGGAUGGUAGAAUUCCAGGUGUAGCGGUGAAAUGCGUAGAGAUCUGGAGGAAUACCGAUGGCGAAGGCAGCCAUCUGGCCUAAUACUGACGCUGAGGUACGAAAGCAUGGGGAGCAAACAGGAUUAGAUACCCCUGUAGUCCCUGUCUCUUAUAC
This 301-nucleotide ribosomal RNA is filed under the name uncultured bacterium. RNAcentral describes it as "partial 16S ribosomal RNA". It matches the Rfam family "Bacterial small subunit ribosomal RNA", at positions 509 to 807 of the family's 1533-position model. The record is from RNAcentral.